GUGUGCCUACUGUUCACACCUGAUUAUUGUGCCAAAAUGUUUAUCUAUUUAAUUAUAUUACUAUCAUCAGCUCAAGGUUCCAGAGCGGCAGAAGUCAUCACACCAUACAGUGCUUAUCAGUUUGCUGAUGAGGGUGACAGUGUGACACUCUCUUGUAGCUACACUGGUUCUGUUCAAGGUCUUCACUGGUAUCGGCAAUAUGCAGGUUCACCACUAAAGUUCCUCAUAAUGGAUUCCUAUGGGGCAGUUACUAAAGCUGAUCCUCCAGUACCUGGAGUCUCAAUCCAUCACAGAAAAGACAACAGUAGUGUGGAUCUGAAGAUCUCCUCUGCUGCUGUCACUGACUCCACUCUGUACUACUGUGCUCUGGAGCCCACAGUGAAAGGAAAUCCACUGCAUGCUGUACAAAAAGCUGUUUAA
Non-coding RNA from Sinocyclocheilus anshuiensis, 420 nucleotides. The record is from the annotation of a RefSeq genome assembly. Lineage: Eukaryota; Metazoa; Chordata; Actinopteri; Cypriniformes; Cyprinidae.